Long non-coding RNA from Astatotilapia calliptera (eastern happy), 305 nucleotides. The record is from Ensembl. Lineage: Eukaryota; Metazoa; Chordata; Actinopteri; Cichliformes; Cichlidae.
GUAACACACAAUGUCUCUGGUGGAAGCACACGCGUUGGACUCCGAUCCAGAGCUAAUCACAAACCAUCUGUGGCUCGAGCCCCGACACACCUGUGGAGCACAGCAACAGCUUCCAGCAGCUGAAAGCAGAGGGGAAGAAACUGUUCUUAUGGCGAGAGGUUCUGGUGCGAAUGGACCGGAGCCUCCUGCCUGAGGGGAGCAGGUCAAACAGACUGUGUCCAGGGUGAGAAGGGUCAGCUGAGAUCCGAGCUGCACGCCCCAGUGUCCUGGAGGUGUACAGGUCCUGCAAAGAUGGGAGUCUGCAG